GAUGAACGCUAGCGGGAGGCCUAACACAUGCAAGCCGAGCGGUAGAGAUUCUUCGGAAUCUUGAGAGCGGCGUACGGUGCGGAACACGUGUGCAACCUACCUUUAUCUAGAGGAUAGCCUUUCGAAAGGAAGAUUAAUACUCCAUAAUAUAUUGAUUGGCAUCAAUUGAUAUUGAAAGCUCCGGCGGAUAGAGAUGGGCACGCGCAAGAUUAGUUAGUUGGUGAGGUAACGGCUCACCAAGACGAUGAUCUUUAGGGGCCUGAGAGGUGAUCCCCCACACUGGUACUGAGACACGGACCAGACUCCUACGGGAGGCAGCAGUGAGGAUAUUGGUCAAUGGGUGCAAGCCUGAACCAGCCAUCCCGCGUGAAGGACGACUGCCCUAU
RNAcentral lists this ribosomal RNA (386 nucleotides) under uncultured bacterium. Its description in RNAcentral is "bacterial SSU rRNA". It matches the Rfam family "Bacterial small subunit ribosomal RNA", at positions 28 to 420 of the family's 1533-position model. The record is from RNAcentral.